UACGUAGGUGGCUAGCGUUGUCCGGAUUUACUGGGCGUAAAGAGCGCGCAGGCGGUCGUUCAAGUCGAGUGUGAAAGCCCCCGGCUCAACUGGGGAAGGUCACUCGAUACUGAUCGACUCGAAGGCAGGAGAGGGAAGCGGAAUUCCCGGUGUAGUGGUGAAAUGCGUAGAUAUCGGGAGGAACACCAGUGGCGAAGGCGGCUUUCUGGCCUGCUCUUGACGCUGAGGCGCGAAAGCUAGGGUAGCAAACGGG
RNAcentral lists this ribosomal RNA (253 nucleotides) under uncultured bacterium. RNAcentral describes it as "partial 16S ribosomal RNA". It matches the Rfam family "Bacterial small subunit ribosomal RNA", at positions 524 to 776 of the family's 1533-position model. The record is from RNAcentral.